This 7402-nucleotide long non-coding RNA is filed under the name Populus tremula. Its description in RNAcentral is "long non-coding RNA (PTRE_LNC000669)". The record is from RNAcentral. Lineage: Eukaryota; Viridiplantae; Streptophyta; Magnoliopsida; Malpighiales; Salicaceae.
AAAAAACCUGAUUAGUUCAUCUGUUUCUCAACCUGUCAAAAAACCUGAUUAGUGCUCUUGAAAUCCAUUUCUAGCAUCAAUGGAGGAGCUCAUGAAUAAAAUCAUAACGCGCACAGACCUAGAAAACCGUCUAGCUUAUCCAACCCACAGUCUUCGGGCCUUUCCAGUACUAUUGUCCGAGGGCCAAACUUCAAUAUGUUUUGAUGCACGAGAUACUCUUGGGAAAGUCUGGAAUCUUAAGCUUUCUACUCGGACUCAAGGCCAAUAUCAAAAACCAGUCAUCACUGGAGAGUGGUUGUCACUUGUGCAAGAGAAGGGCCUUGGAGUCGGAGACAGGAUCGUUCUGACUAGGGAAGUAGAUGAAGAUGGUGAAGUGAGCUACGAAAUCAGAACUGAACGCAAGAUAUUCAAUGUUUGGGUCCCUGUCCAAUAGGGGACAUAUCUUUGCCUGUUGGUAAAACAUAUUACGCUUGCAGUAUGCAAGUUAGUGACUGUUUUUCUAGCAUUUAAUUGUUGUUGUGUGAUUUACAUAUUAUGUUUUGUUCCUUGUAUUUUCUUUUUUAUAUAUGCAGCAUACGAGUUACUCCAUGCUCCUUCUGGCUCCAUGGGUAGCAAGAGAGGAGUGGAGAGGCUGCUAGCUAGCUUUUUAUACAUGUAUGGAGCUUUCAUUUUGUCAGUAGUACUGGUGUGUUAUAUAUAUUUGAUGUAUCUUCAACUUCUCAAUCUAAGCCUCGUUUUUUUUUAUUAUGAAUUUGGUCCUUAGCAAGACCAGAUGAAAAUACUUUAUGUCUGACACUUGACUGCCGCAAAAUUAUCCUUAAAACACCCAAAGUACCAUUUUCUAACCUUGCGAUAUCAUUUCAAUCAGUAUUGAAGACAAAUUCUAUUGUCGGCUAAUCAAACAUUAAUUUUUUUUGUUUUUGAUGAGACAAAAGAGCAACCGACUCCUGUCAAAUUCUAGUAUCAAUUCAAACUAAGAUUUUAGAGUGGAAGAUCGCCCACAUUUUGGAUUAAUUCUAUUUCCUAAACAUUCCAUUACAUAAAAAUAUUUGGAAUUAAAAUUUACAUAAACUUAAAUUUCAAAUUAAAAUAAAUUUCUCUAUAUUUAAGUGUAAAAAGUUUGACAAUAGGAAGUGAAGAAAAUGAACAUACCUCGAAUAAUAUUUAUAAACAAAAAAAAAACGAAUAUAAGAACACGAACUAUCCCAUAAAAAUCAAAGUUAGAAAAAAAAAAACCGAAGUAAUGUAUUUUAUUUAUUUAUAUUUUUGCUGGGUCGGGAGCAAAUUAUACCAAAUUAAAAUGCUUGAUUGUUUGACAUUUUACGGCCCCAAGAUUAUCCCCAAAUCAUUUCGAGCACCAUUUUGUAACCUUGCGAUGUCAUUUCAAUCAGUAUAAACGAAAAAUUCUAGACAAUUAAGCUCUUCAAAACCUUUUUGUUGCCGGCGACAUAUGGCAAUGGAGGUUCAAGCAGAAAUAAAAGUCUUCUAGAGCCAGAGGCAGUCUCAAAUACCUUAUGGUAGGCUGUGCUAGCUGCCAAAAAAGACAAGCAACAAGGUCAAAAUGUGAAGAACGACACGCAAGCACUCGCAGGCUGUCUAGCCUCUUUCAUUUAGCCUUUCAUCGAUCGUUCGCAUGUUGCAAGAUUCGAGACAUUAAGGUCAUCGAUCGUUCGCAUGUCGCAGGCUGUCUAGCCUCUUUCAUUUAGCCUCUUUCAAAGGUAAAUUCCUUUUCUAGUGAGAACCGGUGGAUAUAUUAUCUACACUAAAAUGUAUUUAAUUUUCUUAAACUAUUUAUCAAAGUGUCAUCAUCAAUCUUUAAAGAAAGAUUAUAUUAAAAAAUAAUAUAAAUUAUAUUAAAUUGAUUGAUUCUACUUGUAUAUGGAAGCAAGAGAACUCUGUACGAAAUUAAAAAAAUAAUAUAUCACACCAAUUUCCUAAAGAAAAGGCCGCACGAGUUUGGUCGUUUAUUUGAGUAGUCGAGAAGUAAAUGGAAAGAUUUAUUAAUGUUUCAUCUGACGUUUGCUUACCAAAAGUGAACAUAUAUCUUUCUUGGACUCGUGAAGUUUAACAAAGACAACCUGAAAUUAAAGUCGUCGCCAAAAAGAAUGUUAUUUGUCGGCCGCCUUAUCAAACAUUAAUCUAUAUUUUGUCUUUUGUUUUUUAGGAGCCAAAAGGGCUGCCGAUUUGUCACGUACGGACAUGAGAUUUUUCAAACUUAUCUUGUCAUGAUAGAGUGAUUGUCGCUCGUUUACAUCAAACUUUUCUUAAUUGUCGCGUGACAAUGGGAUUCUUCUAUACUGUAUACAAAAAGUUCAAAGAAAAGAAAAGCAUAGGUAAUUUGAAAUAACUAGAUUUACCUAAUAUUUAUAAAAUUCAAUCUAAAAUUAACUUAAAAUUUUGAUUUGAGAAAUCAAACUAAAAAAAUAAUUAGACAAUUUUUUAGAAAAAAAUCAUUUCAAUUCGAUAUUAAUUUUAAAUUUUAAAAACAAGAAAAACAUGAAAUAAAACUAGAAAAAACAGAGAUUAUAUAUAAUUAACUACACUACACUAAAUGAUAUAUUCUUUAUUUUAAAAAAUAAAUUGAUUAAAAUAGCUCUUUUUUUUAAAUUAAUUUAAACUUAUUUAAUUUUCAUAAAAGUUAAACAAAACUACACUAAUUAUUUUAAUUUUUAUUUAUUUAUUUUAGUUUAAAUUAAUAUUUUAUAAAAAAUAUUUCAAUUUGACUGGAUUCUUUUAUCCAACCUAACAAAACCUAUUGAUGUUCACUUCUAAUAUAAGUCCGCGAUCAUAUACCAUCCAAUUGUUGCUUAUGAUGUUAGGAUCAUGGUUGUCACUUUUAAAGAUAACUUUUGCUAAUUGGUGCGUGAAAAUAGCCUUCUAGAUUGACAUAGUUAAGGAGUUCAAAAAAUAAAAAAGCAGGCUAAUUUAAAAUAUAACUAGUCUUUUCAGUUGGAUCAAAUUUUGUCCUGAAAUUCGAGAUUGAAACAAACCAACUCCCUCAAAAGUUAUGUAAGUCCACAAUGAUAUACCUCAAAACAGAUCAUAUAUAUCUUUGUCAAGUGAUAAUCUCAUGAGGAUGAUGAUAAAAAGCUGUGCAUACUCUAAAAUAUUCUUCACUUAAACAACAUUAUUGUUGGACUGUUAAGACAUACAUGAACCUAAAAAAAUAAUCAAACCUAGUCAUACUUUAAAGUUUGACUAUCCUUGUAUAAGAGAUUGUUUAGUAGUGUGGUUGUUUUUUAAAUAAUGUUUUAUAUCAAAAUGCAUGUCAAUGAUGCUUUUUCAUUUUUUAAAAAUUAUUUCUGACAUCAGCACAUCAAAAUGAUUCGAAAACACUAAAAACAUAUUAAUUUGAAGUUAAUAAAAAAAAAUUAAAAAAAUUAAUUUUUUUUAAAAGUAUUUUUAAAACGCAAAAAAAAAAAAAACUUGUUUGUUUUUGCGUUUUAAAAACAUCUAAAAAAAUUAAAAUUUUUAUUUUUAUUUUUUUUCUUUACUUUAAAUUAAUAUUUUUUUCUAUGUAUUUAAAUCAUUUUAAUAUGUUGAUGUCAAAAAAUAUAUUUUUUUAAAAAAAUAUUAUUUUGAUAUAUUUCCGAGUAAAAAACACUUUGAAAAACAACCGCAAACACACUUUCAAAUAUAAUGCCAAAUAUGUUGUCCAAAACCUAUGAACACACCCAAAUAUUAACUUGUGUAGUAUACAUGUUAAUCACUAAUUUUUAAUAAUAUUUUAAUAUAAUAAGUUAUCAAAUCACUUGUGAACUCAUGUGAUAAAAGAAAAAAAAAUAUAAAAAGAAAGAUAAAAAAAAAACCUGACAAUAAGUUUAUGAUUUUUUUUAGGUAAUUUUGUUAUUUUAUUGUUUUUUAAAAAAGUUAAAGGACUAGGCAGUCCCUAUCACUUUUUGGGCACUUCCGAUUAAUUAUUUGUGCAACUUGCAAAUUAACUUAUGCUGCACAUGGCAUAUGAUUUCUCUACUCUCGUACACGUCGAUCACUUAGCUUGUCUUAUAAGAUUAUUAUUUUUGCCAUUCUAAUCUCUCUCUCUCUCUCUCUAGUUUUCUUUUCGAAUACGGGGGGAUUUUCGCACGAUAUCCAUAUUAUAAUGUAGCACAGACCACAUUUCGGACAGGGAUUUGAAGCUGCCAACAUUUUUCUUGGACGAUAUGAUGAUUACAUCUAAACGAUAACGAGGAUAAUUUUUUUAAAAAUAAAAGGUUGAUGAAUUCUCUUUAGACCUCCAAUCAACAAAGCUGGUCGGUCGCCAGGAUAUGGGCCUUGGUCGUAAGUAAGCGAGCGCAAGGGAUUAAGAGAGAAAAAGAUACACUGAAAAAAUUAGGGUGAUUGUCGCUCGUUUACAGCUAACUUCUCUUAAAUGUCGAGCGACGAUGGCCUUCUAUGUUAUUGUAUUCAGUACUGUGAAAGAUCAGAUAUAAUCGAUUGCGUACAUAAUUAGCUCACCACUGUAUUAUGGUUCGACAUAUAAUACAUAGACUAGUCACAUCUUCGACUAACUUUUUGACCAUUCAAUAUCUUGUCACUCAUAUUACAAAGUGUGAAACAUUCUUAAUUCCAUCACAAGACCGAAAAAAUAAAAAACCUUUUUAAAACAAUUUAGGAUGAAAAAGAUUAAUUCAAACAAUUUAGGAUGCUGUUACCGCAUGAUAAACAACAAGUUAUUUUUAUUAAACAAUAUGAAAUGAACAAUUGAAUCGAAUUAAAAAUAAUAUUUUAUAAAUUAAUCUCUACAAAUGAUUUUGAGAUACAUUUCCAAAACAUAAAAAUAUACAUCUUCCAUUCAUCUCGUGGCCUACAUUUGAGCAGGGAACACAACCAACAUUCUUUUAUCAAUCUCUAUAACUGUACAGGGAUCGAAGCCAAUUCUAAAACAUUGAGAUAUUUUUUUUAUUCAAAUUUAAAAAAAAAUAAAAUUAUUAAGCAUGCUAAAUACAUGACCAAAUUUAUAAGGGUGGGAUGACACCUUAUAAAAUAAACUAAAUAGAAACAAUGCAGGUCAAUUCUUAGAUAAAAAAAUAAUAAUAAUAAUUGCUAAAAAACUAUCCAAACCCAAUAACUUAAGUUAUUUAAUGUAUGGAUAUUUUAUUUUAUCAGUAGUUUGAUGUAUCUUCAACUUUUUUAUAUUAUGCCUCAGUUAUUUUAUUAUGAAUUUCAUCCUUACAUAAUAAAUUUUAUAGAACAAAAUCCAUAGAUAAAUUGAAUCCAAUUAAAAAUAACAGUUAUAGACAUAAAAAAAAAGAUUAAAUAUUCUUUGUUUUUGCGUUUUAAAAAAAGAUUAAAAUUUAUUUUUUUUCUUUGCUUCAAAUUAAUAUUUUUUUAGUGUUUCUAAAUUAUUUUGAUGCGUUGAUAUAAAAAUAAUUUUUUAAAAAUAAAAAAAAUAUUAUUUUAAUACAUUUCUGAAUAAAAAACACUUUGAAAAACAAUCACAAUCAUAUUCUUAAAUAUAUUAGAGUGCUGGUAUGUCAAUCGAGACAAACUUUUCUACUCAAGUAAUCUCAUGGAUAAAAUUUUUAUAAUACUCUUAAAUAACUAUCUCAAAUUAUGAGUUUUAGAUGUGAUUUUAAAUCCAAAAAAUAAUUUUGUUUGACUUUCUAACAUAUUUCAUCAAAAAAAAGUUUUUUUAUCCUUAAAUAGUAGAUAUACUCACCAUUACAUUUUAUUAAACUUAUUUAAUUUAAUUAAAUAAAAAUUAAAAAUAAUAGAAUUCAAACUGACAACCGUCUCAUUUGUUGACGGUCAUAAAGACCCUCUGAAUGAUAUUAGCUUUCAAGAAUUAAGAAAUGAUUAGUGGGUCCUUCCAAACGUUUGCCAAGUCUUCCAUAAGUCUUAUGGAUGUUAACGAUCCAGCAUUAAUUAAUACAAUCUUUUUCCAUAAUAGCGGCUUUUCCAACUUGAAAUACUGAAAGAAAGAAAGCGAAAUAAAAACUCGGGCCCUAUAUUUAAAGGUUAUUUUUUAUAUUGGAUGCAAACAGACAAAUUUGUCUAAGGAGAAAAACAUAUAAUAAAACAUUUCAUAAGAAAUAAGGUAGUAAAAAUGUCAUUUUUUUUAUUAAGCAUAACUAUUUUUUGUACCUCAACAUUUAAAGUUAAUGUAUAUUUUAGGAUUCUUAGUUCUUUUAACUACUAGUUAAUAACUUUUAAUUUUUCUCGAUAUGAUCCGGUGUGCAUUUUAAAAUCUUUAAUUUUUUUAAUUAUUAGAUGAUGAUUUUUAUUUUUUUUUAAUAAUAUUUUAAUCUAAUAAAUCUCCAUAUCUGUACAGGAUUGAAGCCCAUUCUAAAACAUUGAGAUAUGAUUUUCUUCAAAUUAAAAAAAAAAUAUGACAAAAAAUUAAUUUUAUUGAGCAUGCUAAAUACAUGGCAAAAUUUUAUAAGGGUGGGAUGAUACCUUAAAAAAUAAACUAAAUAGAAACAAUGCAGGUCAAUUUUUAAACAACAAAUAAUAAUAAUAAUUAAAAGCAAAACAGUAGAAAAUCAAUAAAAAAAAUUAAAAAAAACUCGAUUGAACUCUCUAAAAUUAAAAUAAAAAAUUAACUCUACAACCCAAUAAUAUAAUAUUGAAUUAUAAAAUUAAAAUAAUUUUUUUUUUAAAAAAAAGUUAAAUGGGGUAAAUCUUCUAAAUUUAUUUUUCGAAUCAUGAUACUGGGUUAUGUCAUAUAUUAUUAUAUAAUAAAUAAGUUAUUUCCUUGAAUUGUUUUAAAAAAAUCUUAGUGUUUUUAUAAUUUAAAAAAGUUAAUACACUUUUCAACAAUUACACCUACAUCCAAUUUCUAAGCUAAAAAUGAUUUGCUUAUAAUGAGAUAAUAUUCUUCUUUUAAAAGGUUAAAAGAUUUAAAAUUAAAACGUUAAUGCAACUUUCAAAUCAACUGGAAUUGCACAUUGGACAAAUGAUCACCAAGAGCUCACAUCAAUGCAUUUGUUUUAAUUUGUCAAAGAUCAGAAAUAAUCACAUCUCCGAUUAACUUUUUGACCAUGGAAUACCUUGCCAACCAAACCACCAGAUGUGACAACGCAAUCUAGGAUGUUGAUAUCGAACGAUAAUGAACAAGAGUUAACAGUGAACGUGCACUCACUACACCUAUAAAAAUGCUAAUAGCUAGCCCUCCAACAUUCAUCUGUUUCUCAACCUGUCAAAAAACCUGAUUAGUUCAUCUGUUUCUCAACCUGUCAAAAAACCUGGUUAGUGCUCUUGAAAUCCAUUUCUAGCAUCAAUGGAGGAGCUAAUAAAUAAAACCCUAAAGCGCACAGACCUAGAAAACCGUCUAGCUUAUCCAACCCACAGUCUUUGGGCCUUUCCUCCACUACUGUCCGAGGGCCAAACUUCAACACGUUUUGAUGCACGAGAUACACUUGGGAAAGUCUGGAAUCUUAAGCUUUCUACUCGGACUCAAGGC